AUUGAACGCUGGCGGCAUGCUUUACACAUGCAAGUCGAACGGCAGCGCGGGCUUCGGCCUGGCGGCGAGUGGCGAACGGGUGAGUAAUACAUCGGAACGUGCCCAGUAGUGGGGGAUAGCUCGGCGAAAGCCGGAUUAAUACCGCAUACGACCUGAGGGUGAAAGCGGGGGAUCUUCGGACCUCGCGCUAUUGGAGCGGCCGAUGGCAGAUUAGCUAGUUGGUGGGGUAAAGGCCUACCAAGGCGACGAUCUGUAGCUGGUCUGAGAGGACGACCAGCCACACUGGGACUGAGACACGGCCCAGACUCCUACGGGAGGCAGCAGUGGGGAAUUUUGGACAAUGGGCGAAAGCCUGAUCCAGCAAUGCCGCGUGUGUGAUGAAGGCCUUCGGGUUGUAAAGCACUUUUGGCGGGAACGAAAAGGACUGUGCCAAUACCACGGUUCGAUGACGGUACCCGCAGAAUAAGCACCGGCUAACUACGCG
RNAcentral lists this ribosomal RNA (484 nucleotides) under uncultured bacterium. Its description in RNAcentral is "partial 16S ribosomal RNA". It matches the Rfam family "Bacterial small subunit ribosomal RNA", at positions 29 to 507 of the family's 1533-position model. The record is from RNAcentral.